AGCGAACGCUGGCGGCAGGCUUAACACAUGCAAGUCGAACGGGCGUAGCAAUACGUCAGUGGCAGACGGGUGAGUAACGCGUGGGAACGUACCUUUUGGUUCGGAACAACACAGGGAAACUUGUGCUAAUACCGGAUAAGCCCUUACGGGGAAAGAUUUAUCGCCGAAAGAUCGGCCCGCGUCUGAUUAGCUAGUUGGUGAGGUAACGGCUCACCAAGGCGACGAUCAGUAGCUGGUCUGAGAGGAUGAUCAGCCACAUUGGGACUGAGACACGGCCCAAACUCCUACGGGAGGCAGCAGUGGGGAAUAUUGGACAAUGGGCGCAAGCCUGAUCCAGCCAUGCCGCGUGAGUGAUGAAGGCCCUAGGGUUGUAAAGCUCUUUUGUGCGGGAAGAUAAUGACGGUACCGCAAGAAUAAGCCCCGGCUAACUUCGUGCCAGCAGCCGCGGUAAGGAUGAGACGU
Molecule: ribosomal RNA, 462 nt
Filed under: uncultured bacterium
Lineage: Bacteria
Description: bacterial SSU rRNA
Rfam family: Bacterial small subunit ribosomal RNA
Source: RNAcentral